AUUCCUACGGGACGCAGCAGUGAGGAAUAUUGGUCAAUGGGCGCGAGCCUGAACCAGCCAAGUCGCGUGAGGGAUGACGGCCCUACGGGUUGUAAACCUCUUUUGUCGGGGAGCAAAUUCCGCCACGUGUGGCGGAGUCGAGAGUACCCGAAGAAAAAGCAUCGGCUAACUCCGUGCCAGCAGCCGCGGUAAUACGGAGGAUGCGAGCGUUAUCCGGAUUUAUUGGGUUUAAAGGGUGCGUAGGCGGGCUUUUAAGUCAGCGGUAAAAAUU
Molecule: ribosomal RNA, 271 nt
Filed under: uncultured bacterium
Lineage: Bacteria
Description: partial 16S ribosomal RNA
Rfam family: Bacterial small subunit ribosomal RNA
Source: RNAcentral